RNAcentral lists this ribosomal RNA (275 nucleotides) under uncultured bacterium. RNAcentral describes it as "partial 16S ribosomal RNA". It matches the Rfam family "Bacterial small subunit ribosomal RNA", at positions 338 to 606 of the family's 1533-position model. The record is from RNAcentral.
CCUACGGGGGGCUGCAGUGGGGAAUCUUGCGCAAUGGGCGGAAGCCUGACGCAGCAACGCCGCGUGUGGGAAGACGGCCUUCGGGUUGUAAACCACUUUCAGGGGGGACGAAGCUUCCAGGGUUAAUAGCCCAUGGGGUGACGGUACCCCCAGAAGAAGCCCCGGCUAACUACGUGCCAGCAGCCGCGGUAAUACGUAGGGGGCGAGCGUUGUCCGGAAUCAUUGGGCGUAAAGCGCGUGUAGGCGGCUCGUUAAGUCCGGUGUGAAACCUUGGG